ACGGGAGGCAGCAGUGAGGAAUAUUGGUCAAUGGACGGAAGUCUGAACCAGCCAAGUAGCGUGCAGGAUGACGGCCCUCCGGGUUGUAAACUGCUUUUAGUUGGGAAUAAAAGAGGGAACGUGUUCCCUAUUGUAUGUACCAUCAGAAAAAGGACCGGCUAAUUCCGUGCCAGCAGCCGCGGUAAUACGGAAGGUCCGGGCGUUAUCCGGAUUUAUUGGGUUUAAAGGGAGCGUAGGCGGGCCUUUAAGUCAGUGGUAAAAGCGUGUGGCUCAACCAUACCACGCCAUUGAUACUGGAGGCCUUGAAUGCACACAGGGAUGCUGGAAUUCGUCGUGUAGCGGUGAAAUGCUUAGAUAUGACGAAGAACUCCGAUCGCGAAGGCAGGUUUCCGGUGUGUAACUGACGCUAAGGCUCGAAAGUGCGGGUAUCAAACAGGAUUAGAUACCCUGGUA
RNAcentral lists this ribosomal RNA (453 nucleotides) under uncultured Alloprevotella sp. RNAcentral's name for it is "partial 16S ribosomal RNA". It matches the Rfam family "Bacterial small subunit ribosomal RNA", at positions 341 to 792 of the family's 1533-position model. The record is from RNAcentral. Lineage: Bacteria; Pseudomonadati; Bacteroidota; Bacteroidia; Bacteroidales; Prevotellaceae.